RNAcentral lists this ribosomal RNA (492 nucleotides) under uncultured bacterium. Its description in RNAcentral is "partial 16S ribosomal RNA". It matches the Rfam family "Bacterial small subunit ribosomal RNA", at positions 29 to 507 of the family's 1533-position model. The record is from RNAcentral.
AGUGAACGCUGGCGGUAGGCCUAACACAUGCAAGUCGAACGGCAGCACAGUAAGAGCUUGCUCUUACGGGUGGCGAGUGGCGGACGGGUGAGGAAUACAUCGGAAUCUACUUUUUCGUGGGGGAUAACGUAGGGAAACUUACGCUAAUACCGCAUACGACCUACGGGUGAAAGCAGGGGAUCUUCGGACCUUGCGCGAUUGAAUGAGCCGAUGUCGGAUUAGCUAGUUGGCUGGGUAAAGGCCCACCAAGGCGACGAUCCGUAGCUGGUCUGAGAGGAUGAUCAGCCACACUGGAACUGAGACACGGUCCAGACUCCUACGGGAGGCAGCAGUGGGGAAUAUUGGACAAUGGGCGCAAGCCUGAUCCAGCCAUACCGCGUGGGUGAAGAAGGCCUUCGGGUUGUAAAGCCCUUUUGUUGGGAAAGAAAAGCAGCAGGUUAAUACCCCGCUGUUCCGACGGUACCCAAAGAAUAAGCACCGGCUAACUUCGUG